This 253-nucleotide ribosomal RNA is filed under the name uncultured bacterium. RNAcentral describes it as "partial 16S ribosomal RNA". It matches the Rfam family "Bacterial small subunit ribosomal RNA", at positions 524 to 776 of the family's 1533-position model. The record is from RNAcentral.
UACGGGGGGGGCAAGCGUUGUUCGGAAUUACUGGGCGUAAAGGGCGCGUAGGCGGCCCGCUAAGUCAGACGUGAAAUCCCUCGGCUCAACCGGGGAACUGCGUCUGAUACUGGCAGGCUUGAAUCCGGGAGAGGGAUGUGGAAUUCCAGGUGUAGCGGUGAAAUGCGUAGAUAUCUGGAGGAACACCGAUGGCGAAGGCAGCCAUCUGGACCGACACUGACGCUGAGGCGCGAAAGCGUGGGGAGCAAACAGG